This 301-nucleotide ribosomal RNA is filed under the name uncultured bacterium. RNAcentral's name for it is "partial 16S ribosomal RNA". It matches the Rfam family "Bacterial small subunit ribosomal RNA", at positions 509 to 807 of the family's 1533-position model. The record is from RNAcentral.
CAGUAGCCGCGGGAAUACGAAGGGGGCUAGCGUUGCUCGGAAUUACUGGGCGUAAAGGGCGCGUAGGCGGCGCUCCAAGUUAGGCGUGAAAUUCCCGGGCUCAACCUGGGGACUGCGCUUAAGACUGGAGUGCUUGAGGAUGGAAGAGGGUUGUGGAAUUCCCAGUGUAGAGGUGAAAUUCGUAGAUAUUGGGAAGAACACCGGUGGCGAAGGCGGCAACCUGGUCCAUUACUGACGCUGAGGCGCGAUAGCGUGGGGAGCAAACAGGAUUAGAUACCCGAGUAGUCCCUGUCUCUUAUAC